Molecule: ribosomal RNA, 493 nt
Filed under: uncultured bacterium
Lineage: Bacteria
Description: bacterial SSU rRNA
Rfam family: Bacterial small subunit ribosomal RNA
Source: RNAcentral
GCAAGUCGAACGGAGUUUGUUGGAUUGAUCCUUCGGGAGCUUUAGAAUUAACUUAGUGGCGGACUGGUGAGUAACGCGUGAGUAAUCUGCCUAUCACAGGGGGAUAACAGAGGGAAACUUCUGCUAAUACCGCAUAAGACCACAGGAUGGCAUCAUCAAGGGGUCAAAGGUUAGAUCUGGUGAUAGAUGAGCUUGCGUAUCAUUAGCUAGUUGGUGAGGGUAAAGGCCCACCAAGGCAAUGAUGCAUAGCCGAGUUGAGAGACUGAUCGGCCACAUUGGGACUGAGACACGGCCCAAACUCCUACGGGAGGCAGCAGUAGGGAAUCUUCCACAAUGGACGAAAGUCUGAUGGAGCAACGCCGCGUGAGUGAAGAAGGGUUUCGGCUCGUAAAGCUCUGUUGGUAGUGAAGAAAGAUAGAGGUAGUAACUGGCCUUUAUUUGACGGUAAUUACUUAGAAAGUCACGGCUAACUACGUGCCAGCAGCCGCGGUAA